UGAGAGAAAUGAAAGAAUUAGUUUGAGAGCAAGGAAAGAAAAUUUUGUUGAGGAAGAAAAAGAUAGAGAGAAAGAAAAGAAAAAUUAUAAGACUGUGGGGAUGGAGAGGAAGAGCGUUAAUGGAAUUUAAUUAUUAUUGUAGAAGUGUGAUUAAGAAUAACUUGCUAAUAAUAUUUGGAUUUGUCCUACUUUUUAUGCAUGAAUUAUAGUUAAUUCAUAACACAAUAAGAAUAGGCUAAGUUAUCAUAAAUAGUUAUGGUGAUGGGAUAUAUGA
RNAcentral lists this long non-coding RNA (274 nucleotides) under Vigna radiata. RNAcentral's name for it is "long non-coding RNA (VRAD_LNC007222)". Lineage: Eukaryota; Viridiplantae; Streptophyta; Magnoliopsida; Fabales; Fabaceae. The record is from RNAcentral.